UGGGGGAUAUUGCACAAUGGGCGAAAGCCUGAUGCAGCGACGCCGCGUGGGGGAUGAAGGCCUUCGGGUUGUAUAUUUCUUUUGCUCUGAACAAGGCGCACCAUGGGGUGUGUUGAGUGUAGGGGUUGAUUAGCGCCGGCUAACUACGUGCCAGCAGCCGCGGUAAUACGUAGGGCGCGAGCGUUGUCCGGAAUUAUUGGGCGUAAAGGGCGUGUAGGUGGCUGGUUGCGUCUGUCGUGAAAGCUCAUGGCUUAACUGUGGGUUUGCGGUGGGUACGGGCUGGCUUGAGUGCAGUAGGGGAGGCUGGAAUUCCUGGUGUAGCGUUGGAAUGCGCAGAUAUCAGGAGGAAUACCGGUGGCGAAGGCGGGUCUCUGGGCUGUUACUGACACUGAGGAGCGAAAGCAUGGGGAGCGAACAGG
RNAcentral lists this ribosomal RNA (419 nucleotides) under bacterium. RNAcentral describes it as "partial 16S ribosomal RNA". It matches the Rfam family "Bacterial small subunit ribosomal RNA", at positions 355 to 776 of the family's 1533-position model. The record is from RNAcentral.